This 781-nucleotide ribosomal RNA is filed under the name Bacillus amyloliquefaciens. RNAcentral describes it as "bacterial SSU rRNA". It matches the Rfam family "Bacterial small subunit ribosomal RNA", at positions 60 to 823 of the family's 1533-position model. Lineage: Bacteria; Bacillati; Bacillota; Bacilli; Caryophanales; Bacillaceae. The record is from RNAcentral.
AGUCGAGCGGACAGAUGGGAGCUUGCUCCCUGAUGUUAGCGGCGGACGGGUGAGUAACACGUGGGUAACCUGCCUGUAAGACUGGGAUAACUCCGGGAAACCGGGGCUAAUACCGGAUGCUUGUUUGAACCGCAUGGUUCAAACAUAAAAGGUGGCUUCGGCUACCACUUACAGAUGGACCCGCGGCGCAUUAGCUAGUUGGUGAGGUAACGGCUCACCAAGGCGACGAUGCGUAGCCGACCUGAGAGGGUGAUCGGCCACACUGGGACUGAGACACGGCCCAGACUCCUACGGGAGGCAGCAGUAGGGAAUCUUCCGCAAUGGACGAAAGUCUGACGGAGCAACGCCGCGUGAGUGAUGAAGGUUUUCGGAUCGUAAAGCUCUGUUGUUAGGGAAGAACAAGUGCCGUUCAAAUAGGGCGGCACCUUGACGGUACCUAACCAGAAAGCCACGGCUAACUACGUGCCAGCAGCCGCGGUAAUACGUAGGUGGCAAGCGUUGUCCGGAAUUAUUGGGCGUAAAGGGCUCGCAGGCGGUUUCUUAAGUCUGAUGUGAAAGCCCCCGGCUCAACCGGGGAGGGUCAUUGGAAACUGGGGAACUUGAGUGCAGAAGAGGAGAGUGGAAUUCCACGUGUAGCGGUGAAAUGCGUAGAGAUGUGGAGGAACACCAGUGGCGAAGGCGACUCUCUGGUCUGUAACUGACGCUGAGGAGCGAAAGCGUGGGGGAGCGAACAGGAUUAGAUACCCUGGUAGUCCACGCCGUAACGAUGAGUGCUAAGUGU